This 132-nucleotide ribosomal RNA is filed under the name uncultured eukaryote. RNAcentral's name for it is "partial 18S ribosomal RNA". It matches the Rfam family "Eukaryotic small subunit ribosomal RNA", at positions 1299 to 1458 of the family's 1831-position model. The record is from RNAcentral.
UCGUGAAUUAAUUUGUCUGGUUUAUUCCGAUAACGAACGAGACCUUUAUAUUCAUUAGUAAGUUAAUAUUGAUAUUAGCUUUUAUGAAUAGACUACGUAUUUUCAAUUACGGGGAAGCAAUUGGUAAUAACA